Molecule: non-coding RNA, 401 nt
Organism: Camellia sinensis
Lineage: Eukaryota; Viridiplantae; Streptophyta; Magnoliopsida; Ericales; Theaceae
Source: RefSeq, a predicted model, not a curated record
AAAUACAACAUGUAAAACAAAGAGAAGCAAAUUCCCAGAAACAAAACCAGCACAAAGGACAAACAAAGUGGUUUACAAUACUCCUUUCAUCAUCCAUAAUGAUCAAUGUCAACAACGCACAUAACAUGUUUAAAAGGAAGGUCACUAUUGGCUGUUGCAGUGCAAGAGAAAGCAGUGUGAGGAAUGUAAUGUUGGUCAGGAAUGUUGGUUCUUCUGACAUUUUGGAAGUAAGAGAGGGAGUGGCAAAGAGAAGAAGAUUUUCGCAAGGCCGGAAAGGGUGAAAAUUCUUUCCCAAAUGGGUAUCCGAUUGAUGGUGGUGACCAUGGCAGUGGUGAACCAUGUGUUCAGGCACCAAACCGCGGCUAGGAGCGUCAAGGUUACUCCAGUUUUGUCAAGCCAGC